ACGCUCGACACCUACGGGGGGCAGCAGUGGGGAAUAUUGCACAAUGGGGGAAACCCGUGAUGCAGCGACGCCGCGUGAGUGAAGAAGUAUUUCGGUAUGUAAAGCUCUAUCAGCAGGGAAGAAAAUGACGGUACCUGACUAAGAAGCCCCGGCUAACUACGUGCCAGCAGCCGCGGUAAUCUGAGCGGGCUGGCAAGGC
RNAcentral lists this ribosomal RNA (199 nucleotides) under uncultured bacterium. RNAcentral's name for it is "partial 16S ribosomal RNA". It matches the Rfam family "Bacterial small subunit ribosomal RNA", at positions 328 to 539 of the family's 1533-position model. The record is from RNAcentral.